CUCUUAAAAAAAAAAAGAAAGAAAGAGAAAAGUUUCUGGAGCUGAAGUAUUCUUUGAUAUUAUUUAUAACACUGGUCAUUUCUCAACUGUCCAACUGGACACCAGUCGAAUUUUCUCCCUGAAAUACAGAGAAGAUUCUUUAUCUAUAUUGAUUCUUUAUCUAUAUUGAAUCGGCCCUUCCUUAUCUUUUGUAAUUUUACCAUUAACAAAGCCCUAUUUAAGACCUUGAAAAUCAGCAGUAGUUUUGGUAGUUACUAUCAGAGGAAUAUGUGACCUUCCUUCCAAUAAAAAUUGAAAGUAGAGGUGGGGCAGAACUAAGCAGAAGUUGCUCACCUCCUUCAAAGUAGCUGCUCUAGGGGACCAUGGGCUUAGUUCCUUUAUGCUGUUGCCUCUUUGGACACUGGCAGCUCUUUUUUAAAGAUUCAAAUUAGUAGUGAACCUUCAACCUUUGCCUGCUUGAUUUUGUCUCCUCUCUGCCUCGUGGUCACUUCCUCGUUCUAGCCUCCUGUUGGCUACAGACUGUUUCCCAGUCUAGCAUUGCGGUUUCCUUGCUUCUCCAGGCUCUGAAGGUUGCAGAGCCAGCCCCAUGGGACUCAAAGCUGUGUUACUUUGAGCUAGUUAUUUAACCUCUCUGUUCCUCAGCUUCCUCACCUACAAAAGGGAGAUAAUAAGAGAACCCCUCCCUUUGAGGCCUGUUGUAAAGAACUUUGGAUGAUACUUCAAACAUGCUUCCAGAAUGGGGCUUCAUUAUGGGAAGUCCAGAGGGCUUCAGGAUUUACUCUGUCCAGUGGCUCUAGUUCUGCUGCCCUGUGGGUUCUUUUUGUGAGUUUCAUCUUCAGGUUGGUGGCAAGAAGAUGCUGCAUCUGGUCCCAGGCCUCAGAGCUGAGCUGGACAAUAUCCAAAGAAGAAAGAGAAGUCUUUUCUAGAAGCUUUUUGAGAAGACUGAAAAUUUCCCAGGUAACCCAGCCUCUGAGGAUUGGCAGCAAAAAUGAUCCAAGAAAGCACACCUUAAAGUAGGAUUUUUAGACAUUGAUAUCCCACACGUGGGACUAUAUGACAAGGAAGACACCAGUGCUGUUGUUUAAAAACUGCAGUAGGAUACACUGAAACAAUGUUUUCUCUGCUACAUAAAGGAAUCUGGAUUUUUGGCUUGAGCAGUUAAGUGGAUGGUGGUGCUGUUUACUAAGAAUUCAAGCUCAUCUCAAAGAUUUAAGAAGUAGAUCGAAUGUUGUAUUGUUCCUGUAUCUUCUACUUAGACUUCAUGAGCCAGAAUAAUUCAAUCUAAGGAAAGAACUCCAAUAGCAGGUCUUUAAGGCACAGAUACAGACUCUAGAGAGAGCCUUGGGGUAAGAAGGUCUUACGGCAGAACAGUUCAAAUCAUUGGACCUUGAAGGCAAACAGAGUCCUUGAUGAGAGACAACAAGCCAUUCUGAGUGGCAGAAAUUCACACGGCGCCUCUCACCUAAAAAUGAAUCUUUAACCAGCUGUGGGAAGCUUGCUUAUCACAAAGCUAACAAACCUUAACAGGGAUGGGCAAACAGGUUGACAGCAGUGGAAACCAGUACCCAAGGCACCGUUCGAAGAAGAAAGCCUGAACUGUGAUGCCUGGACAUUAACACCUAAUAGAAUAUUCAUUAAAAAAAAAAAAGGAAAGACA
This is a long non-coding RNA of Mustela erminea (ermine), 1657 nucleotides long. RefSeq lists it as uncharacterized. NCBI's taxonomy places the organism in Eukaryota, Metazoa, Chordata, Mammalia, Carnivora, Mustelidae. The transcript has 5 exons. The record is from RefSeq and is a predicted model, not a curated record.